GCAAACUUGGUCAUUUAGAGGAAGUAAAAGUCGUAACAAGGUUUCCGUAGGUGAACCUGCGGAAGGAUCAUUACAAAUCCAACGUCUCUCAUGAGACCACGUUGAAACUCUUCAUGGGCUUGUAUUGUCCUUGGCUUGGCUUGUCCUUGCCAAGGCGUGCAGCCAUAACCACUUGAUUUAUGUUGCUCAAUGUGUAUUUAAAGUACAACAACAAACCUAGAACAACUUAUAACAAUGGAUCUCUAGGCUCUUGCAUCGAUGAAGAACGCAGC
RNAcentral lists this unclassified non-coding RNA (272 nucleotides) under uncultured fungus. RNAcentral describes it as "partial contains small subunit ribosomal RNA, internal transcribed spacer 1, and 5.8S ribosomal RNA". The stretch from base 1 to 73 matches the Rfam family "Eukaryotic small subunit ribosomal RNA", at positions 1759 to 1831 of the family's 1831-position model. The record is from RNAcentral. Lineage: Eukaryota; Fungi.